Molecule: ribosomal RNA, 285 nt
Filed under: [Candida] sp.
Lineage: Eukaryota; Fungi; Ascomycota; Saccharomycetes; Saccharomycetales
Description: Candida sp. (in: Saccharomycetales) partial 28S ribosomal RNA
Rfam family: Eukaryotic large subunit ribosomal RNA
Source: RNAcentral
UUGACCUCAAAUCAGGUAGGACUACCCGCUGAACUUAAGCAUAUCAAUAAGCGGAGGAAAAGAAACCAACAGGGAUUGCCUCAGUAGCGGCGAGUGAAGCGGCAAAAGCUCAAAUUUGAAAUCUGGCGUCUUUGGCGUCCGAGUUGUAAUUUGAAGAAGGUAUCUUUGGGCCCGGCUCUUGUCUAUGUUCCUUGGAACAGGACGUCACAGAGGGUGAGAAUCCCGUGCGAUGAGAUGACCCGGGUCUGUGUAAAGUUCCUUCGACGAGUCGAGUUGUUUGGGAAU